UACAGAGGUCUCAAUCGGUUUUCGGAUUUAUUGGGCGUAAAGGGUGCGCAGGCUGUAUGGUAAGUUUGGUGUGAAAUCCUGGGGCUUAACCCCAGAAUUGCACUGAAUACUGCCGUGCUAGAGGACUGGAGAGGAGAUUGGAAUUCACGGUGUAGCAGUGAAAUGCGUAGAUAUCGUGAGGAAGACCAGUGGCGAAGGCGAAUCUCUGGACAGUUCCUGACGCUCAUGCACGAAGGCCAGGGGAGCAAACGGG
RNAcentral lists this ribosomal RNA (253 nucleotides) under uncultured bacterium. RNAcentral describes it as "partial 16S ribosomal RNA". It matches the Rfam family "Bacterial small subunit ribosomal RNA", at positions 524 to 776 of the family's 1533-position model. The record is from RNAcentral.